AAAACUGCAAAACUGCAAGUUGCACACGGGCAGAGAUGACGGAGCAACCCCCGACCCUCCGCGCCACUCACCCUACCUGCACACCUGCCGCGCGGACCCUGGGGCGGGUGCCUGGGUGCCCAAGUCAGGCAGUCCGCACAGCAGUGGCACCAGGGUGAAAACCUGCUGCUCGGUACCAUCCCGGUUACCACGAAGAGCCAGUCCCGGCGGCCCCUGCGUUCUUGGAGGAGGCCAAGUCAGAGCAACCUCUCAAGUGGGAGGGCGAUGCACUUGACCCUGAGGACAUCAGGUACCAGGCCCGCCAGCUCACGCCUGCAUCGGAGCCGCAGCUGCAGUCUAGACGUGGUGCACCGGCAGCAAGUGACUGGACACUCCAGACCAGGCCCGCCCCGCAGUAGCGUGGAUCCUGAGGCCAGACCCCCAGGCGGCAAAAUCAGGCAACCGGCCCCGCCAGCAGCCGCUGUUUCAUCCGUGUGGACACAGAGUGCCCAGCGCCAGGGCCCAGGAUCCAGAAAGAUGUCCAAGAGGAGCGGACCUUGAGGCCAGGUGGGCUGUGCGCUCUGCGGCCCUGAGGCCAUCCAAAGGAAGCUCCGCCAUCCUGCGCCAGUGCCAGAUCUGCAGCUGCAAACCGCGCGUGUGGCACUGGCAGCAGUGAGGGCGGGUGGGGGAAGGAGCAGUCCCUGACUCUGCCUCCAUCCCUCUCCAGCUACCUGACACUAGCCACACAGACUUCAGGGUCAGAGCCUCAGCGUUCAGCCAAUCCGCGAAGCCACUCAGGUGGCCGCGGAGUGCCCUUGCCAGCACCCUAUCUCCCUUCUGAGGAGGAGCGGGGCGGGCUGCAAGGCCAGACAGGCCCUCCUUCUCAGGCCGGGCUGGCUGCGCGCCUGCGAUCCUGGGGCUGCCCGGGCGAUCCCAGGAGAACCGGCGAGCCCAUCGGCGCACGCCCAGAGCUGCAGCCCCACCUGCUGGCGCGCGCCGCCAGGGAGCGUCUUCUGGGAGCCCGGCAGCAACUGCCGUGCAGGCGCGCGCCCAACGGCUUUGCGAGGCUCACUCGGUCUGAGAGGUCGGAGGCUGCGAGUGUCGCUGCUGAAGGCUGUGGUGGACCGGGCUGGAUCGCGGAUUGUGUAGAUUAUAGAUUUGAAAUAGCGGAGUUGGGGUUGGAUCGGGGCUUUGGGGUUGGAUAGGGGAUUUGGGGCUGGGUCGGCCGGGGUCGGGGAGGGGGUUGGUGAAAAGGUGACAGGGAGCUGCCCUCGCUCAAGAGCCGGUGGUUGGGGGUCUGAGAAGAAGUCACCAAUAUGAAGUUAUUCGGCUUCGGGAGCCGCAGGGGCCAGACGGCCCAGGGCUCCAUAGACCACGUCUACACGGGUUCCGGAUACCGAAUCCGGGACUCCGAACUGCAGAAGAUCCACAGGGCAGCUGUCAAAGGCGACGCCGCGGAGGUGGAGCGCUGCUUGGCGCGCAGGAGCGGAGACCUGGACGCCCUGGACAAGCAGCACAGAACUGCUCUACACUUGGCCUGUGCCAGUGGCCAUGUGCAAGUGGUCACUCUCCUGGUUAACAGAAAAUGCCAGAUUGAUGUCUGUGACAAAGAAAACAGAACGCCUUUGAUACAGGCUGUCCAUUGCCAGGAAGAGGCUUGUGCCGUUAUUCUGCUGGAACAUGGCGCCAAUCCAAACCUUAAGGAUAUCUACGGCAACACUGCUCUCCAUUAUGCCGUGUAUAGUGAGAGCACCUCACUGGCAGAAAAACUGCUUUCCCAUGGUGCACAUAUUGAAGCACUGGACAAGGACAAUAAUACCCCACUUUUAUUUGCUAUAAUUUGCAAGAAAGAGAAAAUGGUGGAAUUUUUAUUGAAAAGGAAAGCAAGUUCACAUGCCGUUGAUAGGCUGAGACGGUCAGCUCUCAUGCUUGCUGUAUACUAUGACUCACCAGGUAUUGUCAAUAUCCUUCUUAAGCAAAAUAUUGAUGUCUUCGCUCAAGACAUGUGUGGACGAGAUGCAGAAGAUUAUGCUAUUUCUCAUCAUUUGACAAAAAUUCAACAACAAAUUUUGGAACAUAAAAAGAAGAUACUUAAAAAGGAGAAAUCAGAUGUUGGAAGUUCUGAUGAAUCUGCAGUCAGCAUUUUCCAUGAACUGCGUGUGGAUUCAUUGCCUGCAUCGGAUGACAAAGACUUGAAUGUUGCUACUAAGUGUGUCCCCGAGAAAGUGUCAGAGCCUUUACCUGGAUCUUCGCAUGAAAAAGGAAACAGAAUAGUCAAUGGACAAGGAGAAGGGCCUCCUGCAAAACAUCCUUCCUUGAAGCCUAGCACUGAAGUAGAAGAUCCUGCUGUGAAAGGAGCAGUACAAAGAAAGAAUGUACAGACAUUGAGAGCAGAACAAGCCUUACCAGUGGCUUCAGAGGAAGAGCAAGAAAGGCAUGAAAGAAGUGAAAAGAAGCAACCACAGGUCAAAGAAGGAAAUAAUACAAACAAAAGUGAAAAAAUACAACUUUCAGAAAAUAUAUGUGAUAGUACAUCUUCUGCUGCUGCUGGCAGAUUAACCCAACAAAGAAAGAUUGGGAAAACGUAUCCUCAGCAAUUUCCCAAGAAGCUGAAGGAAGAGCAUGAUAGAUGCACCUUAAAACAAGAAAAUGAAGAAAAAACAAAUGUUAAUAUGCUGUACAAAAAAAAUAGAGAAGAAUUAGAAAGGAAAGAGAAACAAUAUAAGAAAGAAGUUGAAGCAAAACAACUUGAACCAACUGUUCAGUCACUAGAGAUGAAAUCAAAGACUGCAAGAAAUACUCCAAAUCGGGAUUUUCAUAAUCAUGAAGAAAUGAAAGGUCUGAUGGAUGAAAAUUGCAUUUUGAAGGCAGAUAUUGCUAUACUCAGACAGGAAAUAUGUACAAUGAAAAAUGACAACUUGGAAAAAGAAAAUAAAUAUCUUAAGGACAUUAAAAUUGUUAAAGAAACAAAUGCUGCCCUUGAAAAGUAUAUAAAACUCAAUGAGGAAAUGAUAACAGAAACAGCAUUCCGGUAUCAACAAGAGCUUAAUGAUCUCAAGGCUGAGAAUACAAGGCUCAAUGCCGAACUGUUGAAGGAAAAAGAAAGCAAGAAAAGACUGGAAGCUGACAUUGAAUCUUAUCAGUCUAGACUGGCUGCUGCUAUAAGCAAACACAGUGAAAGUGUGAAAACAGAAAGAAACCUAAAACUUGCUUUAGAGAGAACACGAGAUGUUUCUGUACAAGUAGAAAUGAGUUCUGCUAUUUCCAAAGUAAAAGAUGAGAAUGAGUUUCUUACUGAACAACUUUCUGAAACACAAAUUAAAUUCAAUGCCUUAAAAGAUAAGUUCCGUAAGACAAGAGAUAGUCUCAGAAAAAAGUCAUUGGCUUUAGAAACUGUACAAAACGACCUAAGCCAAACACAGCAGCAAACACAGGAAAUGAAAGAGAUGUAUCAAAAUGCAGAAGCUAAAGUGAAUAAUUCCACUGGAAAGUGGAACUGUGUAGAAGAGAGGAUAUGUCACCUCCAACGUGAAAAUGCGUGGCUUGUACAGCAACUAGAUGACGUUCAUCAGAAAGAGGAUCAUAAAGAGAUAGUAACUAAUAUCCAAAGAGGCUUUAUUGAGAGUGGAAAGAAAGACCUCGUGCUAGAAGAGAAAAGUAAGAAGCUAAUGAAUGAAUGUGAUCAUUUAAAAGAAAGUCUCUUUCAGUAUGAGAGAGAGAAAACAGAAGGAGUAGUAAGUAUCAAGGAAGAUAAAUAUUUUCAAACUUCUAGAAAGAAAAUUUAAACAUUUGGUUCUGGAUACAUGUUGAACUUAGUUGAAUAUAAAAAUCUAGAUUAAAAGUGUGUUUACCAUACUGUAUAAUUCCAUUUACAUGAAGCAUCCAGAAAAGAUAAAUGUAUAGGGACAAAAAGUAGAUUCAUGUUUGCAAGGGGCUGGGGCUGGAAGCUGGUAGUGACUGCUAAUGGGCAUGAGGAAUCUUACAGUGAUGGAAAUGCUCUAAAGUUGGAUUGUAGAGAUGGCUGCACAACUCAGUAAAUGUACUAAAAAUCUUUUAACUUAAAACAGAUACAUUCUAUAGUAUGUAAAUUAUAUUUCAACAAAGCUGUUUUAAUAAAAAAAGGAAAAAUGUGUUUACUAUAUCGGCUUAGAAACAUGCCUCAUUUCUAGGAAAUAAAAGAUAGAGGUGAGAGAUGAUUUACUUUGAGAAAAGACAUUGUGUCACCUAUGAAAUUUUAUUAGGCACAGAGUCAUAUUUUAAGGUAGAUAGUUCUGUAUUGCUGAAAUAGUAAUUUUAAUGUCUUUAUGUUGCCACAUGUUAAGACCAUAAUGUAGUUAUAAAUGGAAAUGUUUACACCUGAAGUGAGUAUUUUCAAAUUAAAAUUUAAUUAAGUGAUUUUCUUCGACACUUAAUUCUAGAUUCCCCAGAUGAAUUGAAGUGUAUUGCUGUGUCUUGUAAUACCUUGCUUUAACUAGCUUUUUAUGUAUUUUAGUUGGUAUAGCUUUGUUAUUAUUCAUAUUAACAAAUCUGAAAAUAUGUCAAAUUACGUGUUUUUAUGACCAUGUAAUGUUUUAAAGGCACCUACUUGUUAUAAAAUCAUAAUUUAGGAUAAAUGUGGUAAAACUUAGCAAAACUAUAUUUGGUUUAGUUUUCCCACUGGUAUUUAUAGUUUACUUUGAAUAUUUAUAUUAAUAAUUAGCUCAUAAUUUUUAUUGCAAGGCUCAAUGACUGUCAUUGGAAUAUAAUUUUGUUCAGUACAAAGAUACUUGUAGCUGUCUGUGAUUUACGAGUUAGGCACUACAUCUCCAUUUUCAGACUGAGGGGUGGCAGGCUUCACAUACAGUGGGAAUGGAGUAAUUACAGGAGGGAGUUGUAGGAGCUUUGAAGUCAGAGAGGGAGGUAGAGGCCUUUUUACCUAGGGCCUCAAAGGCCAUUGGAAUUUUACUUUUAUUCUGAGAUAGGAAUCUGUUGGAAGGAUUUGAACAGGUGAUUGAAUAUGUUAGGAACUUUGAGGCUGAGUUGAGCUUCUGAGAUGAUUGAAUGUUGGAAUGAAUCUGUUGUGUAAGUAAGAGAAUACCAAUUUGGCAGGAAGAGAACAUAUUCUGCAUCCCUCACUGAAUUCAGUAAUAAAUAAAAAUGUGUACAUGUGAUUAAAAGAAGGUGAAUUGAUAUGUGUGGUGAUAAUUUUCAAAGUAGAUAUGUUAGAAUUAAACAUUAUUAACAUAAUUUAAUAAGGCAGUUUAUAA
RNA transcript from Homo sapiens (human), 5225 nucleotides. It is a transcript of the gene named ankyrin repeat domain 20 family member A2, pseudogene, with no coding region annotated. Lineage: Eukaryota; Metazoa; Chordata; Mammalia; Primates; Hominidae. The transcript is spliced from 15 exons. The record is from RefSeq and is a predicted model, not a curated record.